GAUUAACGCUAGCGGCAGGCAUAAUACAUGCAAGUUGAACGGCAGCACAGGUAGCAAUACUGGGUGGCGAGUGGCGCACGGGUGCGUAACACGUAUGCAACCUACCCUAUACAGGCGAAUAACCUUUAGAAAUGAGGGCUAAUACGCCGUAGUAUUACAGAUGUGCAUCUAUUUGUAAUUAAAGAUUUAUCGGUAUAGGAUGGGCAUGCGUCCCAUUAGUUAGUUGGUAAGGUAACGGCUUACCAAGACGAUGAUGGGUAGGGGAUCUGAGAGGACUUACCCCCAACCUGGUACUGGGACACGGACCAGACUCGUAGGGGGGGCAGAGGAAAGGAAUAUUGGGCAAGGGGCGCGAGGCUGACCCACCCAGCCCGGGUGGAGGAAGCCGGCCUUUGGGUUUUUAAACUGCUUUUAUACGGGAAUAAUAGAGUGUACGCGUAAAUUUUGGCAGGUUCCGAUUAAAAAAGCACCGGCAAACUCCGG
RNAcentral lists this ribosomal RNA (483 nucleotides) under uncultured bacterium. RNAcentral describes it as "partial 16S ribosomal RNA". It matches the Rfam family "Bacterial small subunit ribosomal RNA", at positions 28 to 506 of the family's 1533-position model. The record is from RNAcentral.